This 250-nucleotide ribosomal RNA is filed under the name uncultured bacterium. Its description in RNAcentral is "partial 16S ribosomal RNA". It matches the Rfam family "Bacterial small subunit ribosomal RNA", at positions 355 to 597 of the family's 1533-position model. The record is from RNAcentral.
UGGGGAAUAUUGGACAAUGGGCGCAAGCCUGAUCCAGCAAUGCCGCGUGUGUGAAGAAGGCCUUCGGGUUGUAAAGCACUUUUAUCGGGAGCGAAAAGCGGACGGUGAAUACCCGUCCGUGCUGACGGUACCCGAGGAAUAAGCACCGGCUAACUUCGUGCCAGCAGCCGCGGUAAUACGAAGGGUGCAAGCGUUAAUCGGAAUUACUGGGCGUAAAGCGUGCGUAGGCGGUUCGCUAAGUCUGCCGUGA